RNAcentral lists this ribosomal RNA (398 nucleotides) under uncultured bacterium. Its description in RNAcentral is "bacterial SSU rRNA". It matches the Rfam family "Bacterial small subunit ribosomal RNA", at positions 358 to 773 of the family's 1533-position model. The record is from RNAcentral.
GGAAUCUUGGACAAUGGGGGCAACCCUGAUCCAGCGACGCCGCGUGGGUGAUGAAGGCCUUCGGGUUGUAAAGCCCUUUCGCCGGGGACGAUGAUGACGGUACCCGGAGAAGAAGCACCGGCUAACUCCGUGCCAGCAGCCGCGGUAAGACGGAGGGUGCUAGCGUUGUUCGGAAUCACUGGGCGUAAAGGGCGCGUAGGCGGCUCUGGCAGUCGGGUGUGAAAGCCCGGGGCUCAACCCCGGAACGGCACUCGAUACUCCAGGGCUCGAGGUCGGAAGAGGAGGGUGGAAUACCCAGUGUAGAGGUGAAAUUCGUAGAUAUUGGGUGGAACACCGGUGACGAAAGCGGCUCUCUGGUCCGAACCUGACGCUGAGGCGCGAAAGCGUGGGGAGCAAAC